This 107-nucleotide small nuclear RNA is filed under the name Phocoena sinus (vaquita). The record is from RNAcentral. Lineage: Eukaryota; Metazoa; Chordata; Mammalia; Artiodactyla; Phocoenidae.
GUGCUCACUUCGGCAGCACAGAUACUAAAAUUGGAACAAUGCAGAGAAAAUUAGCAUGGCCCCUGCGCAAGGAUGACACACAAAUUUGUGAAGCAUUCCAUAUUUUU